Molecule: ribosomal RNA, 467 nt
Filed under: uncultured bacterium
Lineage: Bacteria
Description: partial 16S ribosomal RNA
Rfam family: Bacterial small subunit ribosomal RNA
Source: RNAcentral
ACGAACGCUGGCGGCGUGCUUAACCCAUGCAAGUCGAACGGAAAGGCCCUGCUUUUGUGGGGUGCUCGAGUGGCGAACGGGUGAGUAACACGUGAGUAACCUGCCCUUGACUUUGGGAUAACUUCAGGAAACUGGGGCUAAUACCGGAUAGGAGCUCCUGCUGCAUGGUGGGGGUUGGAAAGUUUCGGCGGUUGGGGAUGGACUCGCGGCUUAUCAGCUUGUUGGUGGGGUAGUGGCUUGCCAAGGCUUUGACGGGUAGCCGGCCUGAGAGGGUGACCGGCCACAUUGGGACUGAGAUACGGCCCAGACUCCUACGGGAGGCAGCAGUGGGGAAUAUUGCACAAUGGGCGGAAGCCUGAUGCAGCAACGCCGCGUGCGGGAUGACGGCCUUCGGGUUGUAAACCGCUUUCGCCUGUGACGAAGCGUGAGUGACGGUAAUGGGUAAAGAAGCACCGGCUAACUACGUG